This 198-nucleotide ribosomal RNA is filed under the name uncultured bacterium. Its description in RNAcentral is "partial 16S ribosomal RNA". It matches the Rfam family "Bacterial small subunit ribosomal RNA", at positions 1294 to 1500 of the family's 1533-position model. The record is from RNAcentral.
CGGACUGCAGUCUGCAACUCGACUGCACGAAGCUGGAAUCGCUAGUAAUCGCGGAUCAGCACGCCGCGGUGAAUACGUUCCCGGGCCUUGUACACACCGCCCGUCAAGCCAUGGGAGCCGGGGGUACCUGAAGUGCGUAACCGCGAGGAGCGCCCUAGGGUAAAACUGGUGACUGGGGCUAAGUCGUAACAAGGUAAC